CUGAGAACCCUGACCGCAGCCCACCAACGCGGCCCCGGGGCCUGCUCUGAGCUCCGGUCGGCCCUCCUCCUGCCUACAUCAGAGCCUCCCCUGGGAGCCCCAGAGAUCCCCUCAGCUCCUUCUCGGGACAAAGGAACCCUCACUGCUGAGAGCCCCUGGGGGCUCCUCCCACUCCCCCACUUGGCUCCCUCUCUCCUCCUCACUCCCUUUGUGGUGGGCUUGGCCCAGGAGAGUCCUGGCACCGCCAGCUGCUCUGUAAGCCCCUGGGGGUGGCCAGCUGGGGGGGGGCUCCCCACUCCUGCCUGGCCAUAAUCACGGAGCCGUGCCUCGGGAUGUGGGCACACACUCGUGCACACGCACACCGUCUCAGCAACUGGGCUCUCCUGAGAGUCCCCUUCCCAACCCCCAAAACAAGACCUGCCGGCGCCCCCACCCCUUUCUCUCCGUUCUAUCCCCCUCCCCACAGCCCUAGGUACAGCUGCAGAAACUAAGGCUCAAAGAGGUCAAUUCCCUUCACUCCAUGUGGCAGAGCUGGGGUGGUCAGAGACCCUAGACCCCAGCUGAAGGCUCCCGCCCUAACAUGGGAAGCCCCUCCUGUGAGGCUUGAGCGGGUGCCCAGGACCAGACGGGCCAGCCCAGGUGAGAGGCUUCCUGCCCGGAGGCCCUGAGGGUGACCUAGCCAGGGACUCCAGUGCUCACAGGUCCGGGUGGGUCCCAGCCCCAGCUCAUCCUCUGUUUGCUGGCAGUGGCCCCUCUACUCUCCCCCAGGACUCCGGACAGCUCUGCACAGAGGCCUCAUCCCCACCCAGCUGGGCAGACUCCGACCUUGCCACCGGGUGCCUUCCCAUUCUCCUGGCUGCCAGCCAUUCCCCUCUUGCAGCCUCAGUUUCUGCAUCUGUAGGUUGGGAGUAAUGAGAUUCCCCAGCCGGCCCGCUGGGAAAGCUGGGCGUCCUGGGGGAGGGAAGGGGAAGGAAAUGCCAGGAGCUGGGUGGAACCAGGUCAGGGAGGCACAGGCUCAGCCCCAGCUGCAGCAGCCACUCUGUGGGCCCAAGCGAGCCCCAGGCCCUGGGCCUGUCCAUCUGUAAGCAGGGUGAUGGCACUGCCGGGCGCAGUGGCUGAGGGUGGACCCAGCCCAGCUGCCCUCCCUAGGCACUCAUCAGGCCCAGUGCUGGGGCAGGGCACCCGGCCCACACCACAUGGAUGGGGACAAACCUCCAGCUGGGCUACCCUGACAGGGACAGAGGCAAACAGGGCUCCCAGGAUUCCGGGGCCAGCACAGCUCUGUGGCUCCCGUAGUGUCAACUCCAGGCCCCAGAAAGGACUGCAGGGGACCAGGCUGCUCCUGGGGGACCCCAGAUGUCCUGGCUCUUCUCUAGGGGAUCUUGGGCUGAACAGGGGACUGAGGCCCCAGAGGAAGGGUCAAGACAGAUCCCUGAGGGUCCCCAGUCAUUUGUAAAUUACCUCUGCCCUCUGCAAAGAGUGAAUGCUGAUUCCUCGGCCUCUGCUCAAACAUAUGCACUCUCUCAGGUUCACGAUCACACAUCCCCUUACCAUUCGGCAGACCCCACCGGCUCUGUCCCAGCUCACCCCCUCCGCCUGGCCCUACCAUCCUCUGCCCCUCACCAAGGGGGACCCUCCAAUCCAAUCCCAUAAAUCAGGGUCCCCGAGCUGCACUCAAAGCCUCCGUCACCUUUCCUUGCUUGUGGAACAAACCCACCCUCCUUCUUCUGACUCUCACCCCUGCCACCUCAGUGUGUGCAGAGGAGCCUUCCCUGCACACAGCUGAAGUGGCCCUGUGGCCCCUACCCCGGACUUUGGCCAGGCCAUUGACCAGGCUGCUGCCUGCACCCAUGCCUUGGCUUCUGGGUCAUUUUUAUUGAUGGUAGCUUGGCCCGGCUUGGGGGCUUCACACACACCUCCCAUCCAGCAGCCCUAGGAGGUGGAACUGUUAUCAUCACCCCCAUCUCAGCACGCAGCAGAGCCAGGACCCAGACCUGCCCAGCCACAGCACCCUGCCACUGUACCAUGGGACUGUGCUGUUCACAGGGCCACUCCUGGCCUCUGGGGAGUCCCUCCAGGUAGGCCAGGCCAGGCCUGUGCUCUGUAAUGCAGCCCACGCAGGGCUCCCUGCUGCACAGGGCAGGGCGGUGGUCUGACAGCUCCCACCUCUCAGGGCCCAUGCACCCGCCAUGCCCAACCUGCCCAGCCCACCCAGGCCCAGCCACCGUCAGAGGGAGGUUGGCGAUGACUCAGGCCUUGAGUCAGCAGCAUUGGAUGAGGACGCAGCCAACCCUCUGCCAGCAUAAGGGAGCCCCAGAAGGCUCCGAGCUCUGCUAGCUGGGCUUGUGGGGACCCUUGGCUGGAACUGAACCAGGCUCAUCAGCACUCAGGAGCCACCUCCCAGGGAAAAUUCACACGCACACACACAAGCACACGCAUGCACACAGAGGAGGCCUGCCAUCAGGGUGGGUGGGGCUGGACUAACACCAGCCCAGGGAAGAGAAACCAGAGAUGGUGGGGCGUGGUGGGCAGUGAGGUGGGGUCUCGGCUGGAGGGGCUCACUCAGACUGUGGAGCACCCAUGUGCCUCCUAAACAGAAACUCCACACAGGCCAAGGAAACAGAGCUACCAGCUGACUCACUCUCCCAGCAAACACCAGCUCCUCCCAGAGCCAGGCCCUGGAAGAGAAGUCGACAUCACGAGCUGCCAUCUGGGGGGUGGCACCAGGCUGUGAAGGAUCCACAGACUGGCAUAUGCAGGAGGAAAUGGGGCGGGCGAGGGAUAAGGACCCCACAAAGCAGGGGCAGGGAAGGGCCCUCCCAGCGCCCCACAGUAACAGGGGCCUCAUCAAUGCCCCGUGCUCACUGAAUAAAGCACUGCCAGUGAAAGGUGAAAAGAGGAACAAAGAACAUUCUCCUGGACGCCACCCACAGAAAGCCGCCUGCAGGCUUGGCCCUCACCUUGGGGACCUUGGACACGGAGCUGGUUAUGUCACAUCUGGCUCUCAGAGCUGGGGGCAGCGUCUAGGAGGCCUGAUGUAGAAGGCGUUCGGCUAAGCCCUAGUUACCCGCACACGGGCACCAGCGCCCCCUCUCAGCAAACUCCACGUUUUAUGAAAUUAGGACUGGAAUUCCACUUUAUUUUGAAAAUAUGGCCAAGAUCCGUCCACGUGUGGCUGACUCAGAGCUGUGACAUUAAGGGAAAAUAAAGGAAAUGAUUGAGCUGCCUUUUCAGACAACACUGGAAUUUUUGAAGAACCCGAGAAUCAGUAUAUUGAAAGGUCUGCGCCACGGAGUCGCUGCUUGUGAAGCCCGUGUGCAUCCGAAGUGCUCACAAGGACGAUGGAAAGACGCUUCGUUCAUGAGCUCCUUUAAAAUGCCAGACAGGCUCCUCGAAAGGGACUGGGAGAGUUUAGUAGAUGAAUAAGAUUGGCAAAAUAAACCCAAAUGUGUGGGGGAAAAACUGAUUUUAUUAUUUUUAUUUAACUUUAUUUUAUUUUUUGAGACAGGGUAUCGCUCUGUCACCCAGGCUAGAGUGCAGUGGCAUGAUCUUGGCUCACUGCAGCCCCGGCUUCCCGGGUUCAAGCGAUCCUCAUACCUCAGCCUCCCAAGUAGCUAAGACUACAGACACACGCCAUGACGCCUGGUCAAUUUUCGUAUUUUUUAUAAAGGCAGGGUUUCCCCAUGUUGGCCAGGCUGGUCUUGAACCCCUGGGCUCAAGCGGUCCACCCUCCUCGGCCUCCCGAAGUGCUGGGAUUACAGGCAUGAGCCACUGUGCCUGGCAAAAAUGAGACUUUCAAUGUGCUACUUUAAUAAACUAAGUAUUAAUGUUGAAAACCC
Molecule: long non-coding RNA, 3839 nt
Organism: Symphalangus syndactylus (siamang)
Lineage: Eukaryota; Metazoa; Chordata; Mammalia; Primates; Hylobatidae
Source: RefSeq, a predicted model, not a curated record